Molecule: ribosomal RNA, 427 nt
Filed under: uncultured bacterium
Lineage: Bacteria
Description: bacterial SSU rRNA
Rfam family: Bacterial small subunit ribosomal RNA
Source: RNAcentral
UCGAGAAUUUUUCACAAUGGGCGCAAGCCUGAUGGAGCGACGCCGCGUGGGGGAUGAAGGGCUUCGGCUCGUAAACCCCUGUCAUUUGCGAACAAGGCUUACGGCUUAAUACGUCGUAAGUUGAUAGUAGCGAAAGAGGAAGGGACGGCUAACUCUGUGCCAGCAGCCGCGGUAAUACAGAGGUCCCAAGCGUUGUUCGGAUUUACUGGGCGUAAAGGGUGCGUAGGUGGUGGGGUAAGUCUGAUGUGAAAUCUCCGGGCUUAACUCGGAAAUGGCAUUGGAAACUACCUUGCUAGAGGAUUGGAGGGGGGACUGGAAUGCUCGGUGUAGCAGUGAAAUGCGUAGAUAUCGAGCGGAACACCAGUGGCGAAGGCGAGUCCCUGGACAAUUCCUGACACUGAGGCACGAAAGCUAGGGGAGCAAACAG